UAGGGGUGCUACAAGUUGACCACUGCAGCAGUAAAGAUGACUCUGAAGAAUGGCGUGGGUUGGUUCCUUUCAAAUGCACUUGAGCAGUGGUCUCCAACCACAGGGCCACAGAGCUGGAGCUGGAUCUACCAUGAAAGACUUGUGAAUCCAGGAAGAGAGACUGACUGGGCAACAUGUUAUUCAGGGUCUCCCUCUGUUGUCCAAGGCUGGAGUGUAGUAGUGCUAUCGCAGCUGACUGCAGCCUCAACCUUCCAGGCUGAAGCGAUCCUCCCACCUCAACCUCCCACGUGGCUGAGACUACAGGUGCUUGCCACUAUGCCCAACUAACAUUUGGAAUUUUCGUAUACGUGGAUUCCAGAGGGGUGACAGCGAAACGUGGGACCAUCCAGUUGCAGGAAAACAAGCUUAACACGCCCACUAAUUCUACAUUAUGCUCCUACCUCCCGGCAGCCUCUCCAGGCCCAGAACUUUCUCCAGUCAGCCUCUACAGACCAAGCUCAUGACUCACAAUGGCCUAUUUAGGCCCAUACCCUACGUCACGGCAGCCUCCGCAGAUGAGGCUACUGCCUCACAACAGCCUCCACAGGCACAGCUCCAUCGUUACAAUGGCCUCUUUAGACCCAGCUCCUGCCUCCCAGCCUUCUCUCCAGGCCCUGAACUUUCUCAAGUCGACCUCACCAGGCCCAGCUCAUGCUUCUUUGCAGCCUCUCCAGGCCCAGCUCCUGCAUCUUGGUGGCCCCUCCAGGCCCAGCCUCUGCCUCCCGUCAGCCUCUACAGUCCCAACGUCUGCCUCACAGCAGAUUCUUCACGCCCAGCAUCUACCUCACUGUGGACCCCCCAAGCCAAGCUCCCAACCUUUCAGCAGCUUCUACACACCCAGCUCCUGCCACCCAGUGGCCUCUUUAGGCCAAGCUCAUGCUUCACAAGGGCCUUUCCAGGCCCAACUUUUGUCUCAUGGCAACCUUCCCUGGCCAGAUUCCUGCCUGUCUCCCAGCAGCCUAGACAGGCCCAGGUCUUGCCUCACACUGGCCUCUCUACAUCCAGCUUAUGCCUCACGGUGGCCUCU
This 1066-nucleotide long non-coding RNA is filed under the name Homo sapiens (human). RNAcentral's name for it is "novel transcript". The record is from RNAcentral. Lineage: Eukaryota; Metazoa; Chordata; Mammalia; Primates; Hominidae.